RNAcentral lists this transfer RNA (66 nucleotides) under Agrilus sp. AGR01. RNAcentral's name for it is "tRNA-Phe". Lineage: Eukaryota; Metazoa; Arthropoda; Insecta; Coleoptera; Buprestidae. The record is from RNAcentral.
AUUUAAAUAGCUUAAAUUUAGAGCAUAAUAUUGAAGAUAUUAAAGUGGUUAAUUAACCUUUAAAUA